RNAcentral lists this transfer RNA (72 nucleotides) under Mesembrinibis cayennensis. RNAcentral describes it as "tRNA-Val". Lineage: Eukaryota; Metazoa; Chordata; Aves; Pelecaniformes; Threskiornithidae. The record is from RNAcentral.
CAAGGCGUAGCUAUAAUACAAAGCAUUCAGCUUACACCUGAAAGAUACCUGCUACCAGUCGGGUCGCCUUGA